This is a long non-coding RNA of Brassica oleracea var. oleracea, 737 nucleotides long. RefSeq lists it as uncharacterized. NCBI's taxonomy places the organism in Eukaryota, Viridiplantae, Streptophyta, Magnoliopsida, Brassicales, Brassicaceae. The record is from RefSeq and is a predicted model, not a curated record. The transcript has 4 exons.
CCCUGAACUUUCAUUCGCCGUCACAGAUUAUACCAACUCCUCCAAAGUGCCUGUCUGUGGUUCUCCAGUUCCUGAACCCGCCGUCCUCCACUCAACACCAAAACGGUGAAUUUAUGGGAAUAACUCAUCUCUUCCUAGAUGAAAAGGAUUCCAUGAUUCAUGGGUUCAUUCCCGCUGGUUGUGCCAAUCACUGCCAGAUUUGAUUGCUGGUUCAGAUUUGAUAAAAUUAAAUGGAUUUAGAAGAUUUGGUGGGGUUUUGAAGAUUUUGUUUCAUCCGAGGAAGAUAUUAUUUUUGAGAAGGAAAUAUCAGUUGAGAUUGGACAUGGGAGUGUGCUAAUGAAGAAUCCACCUUCCUUUGCUCGGGAAGAGGUGACUAAAACCAGCUCACUCUCUUCAGUUUGAAAACAAGUCAUUCAUCAGUGAAUCAGUGAUGCGUACUCACAUUCCUUGAAGCGUGUUGAUAUUGGAGCAAUAAGAGAGAUUCAGAGUAUGUUGGAAAAGCAAUAAAGAAAGAGCAACUCAAGAGGAGGACCAAGACUAAAACUGGAAGAGUGCUUGUCCUUGGGAGCCAUAAUCAGUAGCGGCCAGGACUUUCAGUGGGCUGGAAGCAAAAAUUGUAUUUUGGGCCACUAAAAGUUAUUUUAAUUAAAAGUAGAAAAUGGAGGCUAUAUUAAUCGGACCUGUCACCUGAAAAUAAUAUGAAGAGUACUUACCAGUCAAUCUAGUCUAACUUUCAC